This is a long non-coding RNA of Alexandromys fortis (reed vole), 6057 nucleotides long. RefSeq lists it as uncharacterized. The record is from RefSeq and is a predicted model, not a curated record. The transcript is spliced from 4 exons. Lineage: Eukaryota; Metazoa; Chordata; Mammalia; Rodentia; Cricetidae.
UAAACUAGCGGGCAGUGAAAUCUUUGCUUUGUGUGCUAAAGUCAACAGUCGCUCGGUUUGAGCUCAAAUAAAUGCAGGGAUGCCUCGGCUAGGAGCAGUCCGCCGCCUCCCUCCGAGCGCAGGACGCUCCGACGCCCGCCUGCCCGCAGGCCACCACAGGAACCCCAACGGUGCAGAACUGUGCCACCGCGCCUAGAAGACAGCCUGAGGCUCCUGGGCAGAUCCCGAAAGCAGAGAGCAUACAUGUGCUUCCAUCAACAUCCUGUGACUUCAUAAAUACACAUACAUCGACAGAGGUCCUUGUGUUCCUGAGCUGAUUGACAGCCGCUAAGAACCAUUUGAAAGGUGUGAAGGAGCGUUAAUAGGUUCAGGAGCAAAACAGUUCACUGCGCUGGGCUCCAGAAAAUACCCUGAAAUUUGAACUGAUGGUUGAGAUGAGGCAUGGAGAUUUCUGCAGAAAACCACAGUGCCUUUCAGAUCUACAGCCUCAAACACACAUCCAGCUUAGCAGAGAGUUGAAUAUCCUGUGCUGGGCUGUGAAUCGCCACCUCCUCCCAUCCCCCGCCCUCUCUCAGAGUUUCUGGAAAGAGGACCGACAUAUGUGUGAACGUCAUCAGUAUAGCCAUGUCUCUGACACAGCUGCUCUGGGACAGUGUGGGGUCGGCUGGGAAGCGACUGGCUGAUCAGCCGGGGAAGUACAGUAAAUGCUUUGUUAACGAGCACUGCUUAGAACAGAACAACUGUUUUCAUUUUUCCUUAAAAGAAACAUGUUCUCUCCUUGGCGACAUGUGCUCUUGUGUUCAGUAACAAGAGAGAAGAAAUGCAUUAAGGAUAUGCAGGUUCUGGGUUAUUUGUUUAUUUACUUUGAAGUGCUGAGGCUGGAAACCAGGCCUCCUAUAUCUAAGCACGUGCUGUAUUACCCAGCCACUCUCCUAGCCCACAUAGCUGUUACUAUUAAAUAAUAAAGACAUUGAAGAAUGUAAUAUAAUGUGAUAACAGCAGCCCUUCAUGGAUCAUGUGUAAAAAAUCAUUUUAGAAAUUAUGCAUUUAUGUAUUUCUAUGCUUUUUUCCUUCUUGAACAGCUUGUAGACUGUAAGAAUAGAUUGAAUUAUCAAGUGUCUCAUGUCUGAGCUCUAUUGUAUUCUACAGUGAGAUUACUCAGGAAUUCGGUAUGCUAUCAAAAUAAGAAUUUAUUUACCUUUCUAUUCUUUGGACGCAGGACCACUUGAAAGCCACCUCAGUACUGUGGAAAGAUCUAGGCAUCUUCUGGAUACAGGGUUUCUCUCUUCUGGCUCCAUUUCUAGAACUUACUGUCCUGAAUGAGUCCCACCCUGUCCUGAAGAAGUGUUGGUGUUGGCAUUUCCUAGAGCCAGUGAAAACCAUCUCUGGAAAGCAUCCCCAUUCGACUUCUAUGAAAGAGCCACAAGAUAGACAGAAGCCUCCAGCUCUGCAACUGUGAAAUGAAUUUUUCAUUGUUUUGAUCUCUUAUUUCUCCAUCAAACUCAUUGUGAAGGGAUUCGCUGAGACUUUGCUGUUAGGCAAGCCAUGUUUCAGCACUCUUGCUUGUGUUUGGAAUUGCUGCAAAGUUGAGUGCGCAUGUUCUGUGUUUGGGUUCUUUUUUUUUUUUUAAUACCAUGCACACUUGGGAAAGGAUGAAUAAGGCCAUUAUUUUGGACAAAAAAAAUAGUUUCACUUAAACCUAGGCAGACACAUCAUCAGACUAUUUCCCAGGUUCUAAAAGGGUCCAAAAAUUACACCAUACAAUCAGCUGGCUGUCUUGUCUCUGUCGCUUUAAUUCCAGCAAAGAGUUACAUACAAGCUCUCAGCAUGGCUACUUAGGUUCUCUUUUCUGUACUGAGCUCUGUAAGCCUCAGAACUACUAACACGUGGUUUCUUAAAAUUCCAGAACUGACAAAGUCAUCAGCCACUCUCUGCCCUUCCAUAUUUAAUUGAAUGUCUGCACUUAGACAUAUUUACUGGACUUCUGAGUGUCUAUGUUUCCUCCCCUGGAAAAUAGCAUCAAGAUAGAUUAGCUGUGGUUACCAACAAUACCUUUAAAAAAAUUCAGUUCUUCCUGUUUUGAAAAUACUUGUUUCAUAAGCAUGGAUUGUGUUGCAACUCCGGGUCAGGGUUCUGAUCAGACACGGAGCAUUGUUUCAGCCAAAGAUAGUUAUUAUAUUACUUAGCAGUGACAGUGUCCAGCUUGAGCAAAUUGCACUGUGGAAAUAGGAAUCCCCUGUUCGUUCUAGUACAUUUUUUUAAAAUAGAGACCAGGGGGAUAUAAAACCCCUCUUUGAUUUUCUGUAGACUAAGUGAAACUCAUGUGUUUGUUUUUUGCUUGUUCUUUUUGGUGCCAUUUUAAUUAGCUAAUUAAAGCAUUGAUAAAAAUCUAUCUGGGUGAAUUAGGGUAGGAAGGAUCAUUUCUGUAGUGAGGAUACAGGGAGCCUCACACAAGACAUCAGAAGGACUCUCCCUUUUUCCUUUUUCAUACAAUUCUACCAGGAACAGGGGUACUUUUCUUUGUUGUUUGUUUGUUUGGUUUGGUUUUUCUGGGUAGCCCCGACUGCCCUGGAACUCACUCUGUAAAUGAUAGCAAGGUUGGCUUUGAACUCAGAGAUCCUUAUGUCUCUGCCUCCCAAGUGCUGGAAUCAAAAGUCUCUGUCUCUGUCUCUGUCUCUGUGUCUCUGUCUCUGUCUCUGUCUCUCUCUCUCUCUCUCUCUCUCUCUCUCUCUCUCUCUCUCUCUCUCUCUGUGGGGGGAGAUCUCACUCUGUAGCCUGGUCUAGCCUCUAGUUUGUGAUCCUCCUCCCUCAGCUGCUAGAGUGUUGGAGUUACUCUUGUCGCUCUCGCCCCAGUCCCUUCUCCGCAGGCUGCACUCUUGUUUUCUCUAGAUUUGCUCAUUCACAGCUACUGGAACAAAAAGAUGAGCCAGAGGAAGGACACUGGCAGGGCUGUUUGCCUAAGAGCACCAUGGGACUUAGGAAGAACAGAAGCUUCUCCCCAUGCUGAACUUUGACCCUCACAAGAAUGUCCCCAAAAAGGCCAUCAUGACACUACAGUCAGAUAGCCCUGCGUACUCUCCCAAGUGUUGAGUGCAUCUAACUGGAGGAAUGGGACAAAAUGAGGGUGGCUCAGAGCCAAGUGGUGGUGGGCCUGCCCCAGGUGGGUGCCGUGCUGAACGCAAAUGCAGACACAAGGGAGCGUCGGCCAUGAGAAUUGUCAGUGGAAAGAUCUUAAAACAGAAAGUGUCCAUUUGACCUCCUUGCAGAACUGAAGUUAUCCAAGUUAUUUAAUCUCCCCCAGAGUUACCAAAUCUUAUGAGAAAUUAACAAUGAGGAGAGAGAGAGAGAGAGAGAGAGAGAGAGAGAGAGAGAGAGAGAGACUCAUUGUUAGAAAUCUUUAACAUCUGACCCAAGGUCUGACCUGAGAUAGGAGUCCUCUUCCAUGGCCAGGAAGUGUCUACCAGCUCAAGAGCGAUUCUGUGAUGGGAGGUGCCUGCUUACCCACACCAGGGGAACCUUUCUCUGUUGGUUUGACCAAUGUUGCACGUUAAUUUAUACUUCUCAAAAAGGUGAAUAGGGACAAGCAUAGAAAAAGCUCCUGCAGGACUCUCUUGGGAGGGUAGGGCAGGCUGGCCAUUUUUGAAGCUUUUGCUCCUCAACCCAGGAGGAUUUACCAAAAAAACCCAACCCCACUCAGCAUCUAUCAACAUCUAUUGAGUAGUUGGGGAACAAGGUGAUGCUUUUCUGCCUUGCCAGUGCGGAGAGACUUUUUCUGUUCCUCAUUCCCAGGUGAAGAACAUACAAAAUGAAACCCAACCUGCUUAAAAUAAAACACACCAACCCCAGCAUGCAGUCUGCCACCUCCCCUUCCUUUACAAGCUGGAGUGCUUGCUAAGUGAAGGUUUAUAUGUGUGAAUUUUCAGGGUGCUUUGUUCCUGUGGAGAGGAUUCCAGAGGCCCUUGAAGUCCUCAGUCUUAAUAGGGGAAGUCUUUCCCCCAACCCCCGCCCGUCUUGGGGAGGUUUGGUUGGAAGAAAACUGACCCUGAGUGCACUCUGGGCAAACUAGGGUGAAAGACCUGAUAUGGUCUGCAGGGUACUUAUUAACCACCGUUCAUUUGCAGGAUCGAUACUUCUGGCAAAGGAGUCAACACUGAAGAUAUACCACGUUGUCUGGCUCUUUCCUUGACACAACAAUUUAUUUAAUAAAUGCAUCUCCUGCAGAAGAAGGCACCAGGCACUGUGUCUUUUAUCUGCAGGAUAUGCAAAGCACAUUUAUUCAGCUUUUAUCUCUGGAAUUGUAUGCUGAUCCCAUACAUAUAGAUUGAUUUUGUUCAGGUAGAUAAUGAAAAGUCAAGUGGAAAAUUACACAAUGGCACUCACGAUCCUGGUCUUAUAUCGGUAUAUAAAUUGGUUUAUUACUUCAUUCUAUUAAAGGGGCUGCCCCCCUCCCAGGAAAACUUGAAAACGCACUGUAUUGUCUGACUGCCUGGAUUUUCUUGGGAGAAGAAGGUUGAACGGAGAGAGAAGGCACGAUAAUUUUCAUUUUUUGUUCCCGUUCUUUUGGUUAAUUGUGCAAGAUAAGUAAGCAGCACCCAAGGGUGUCCUGGGAACUGUCUGCUUCCCGAAGCCCACUUCAGAGUCAAGCCGGGACCUCUGCGAUUUAGACUAUUAGGAACGAGAACAAAUCUGCCCCUCAUGAGCAUCCUGUUACAGAGGUGUCUAUUUUUACCAAAGACAAUUUAUAAUUUUGUCCUGGUGACUGAAGGUGGCAACUCCCUUUGGAGUGUGGGGAGGCCAGGGGUGAGAGGGUGGCAGCAUCGAGAGGCCUCCAUCCAGGGACAGCUCUGAGCUGGAAUCCUGGAGGAAACGUUAUUAAUAAACAUCUUCUGGACAUUUGGCAGCCCUUAGAGCUUGCUCCAGCUUAAAGCAAUUAAUUCAGGACACCGACAUCAACUCUCCAGGUCUUUGACAGCUUGGAGCCGAAAUAAAAAUGCUAGUUCUCCGGGGAAGAGGGGAGGAGGGCCCGCUCUUUGCUGGACUGUUUGCUUAUGGGCCCAGCGAGCAACCUUCCCUGCACAAUGAAAUGCAGGGUCGCACACAACCAACCGGCAGAGAAUAGAAGAUGGGAACGGACAGUUUGAACUAUUUGCUCAGCAGAAGGGCACCACAAUGCUGGGGUAGUGGCUUUCCCAUGCAUCCACUGUCCCUUCUUUGGGAUCUUUUGUUGUCCCUGUCUCCUUUGGCCAGAUAAGAACACAGCUGCAGCCUUGCAGCUAAGUAAGGCUUCACUUAUCCCCUUAAAUCUCGGGGUGUCUUUACUGUACCAGGCAUAGACCAGCUUUUUUCUUUUUUGACCAGAGGACUGGGAGGGAGGGAAGGAAUGAAGAAUUGAGGGGGAGGGGACAGAGAGAGGACUCUCACAUUGCCCAUGUCUGGUUUAUGCCUCUCUUUCUCUCCUUUUUAAACCCAAGCUGGGAUAAGAUGCAAUCUUUGUGGGCCAGUUUUAUUGAACGGUCAGUUUUGUGUGCCAAAAAAGGCUGCCUUCUAGGGGAGGGUUGUUUGUGUAUGCUGUGUAGGGAAGACUAGUUUUGAAGCUGCUUUAGGGCAUUUUCGGAUUCCUUCAGCAGCUAAAAAGAGGGCAGAAUUCGAAGGAGUCGAUUUUAAAAAUUGGUCAAUUAUAAUUCUCUGUUUCUGAAAAUCAUUUCGGGCUCUUCUUCCUACAGUUCAUUUGUUCCAAACUGUAUAAUGCUAGUUAUGUGUUAUUAAGAACAGGAUGACCUGGAGAUGGGGGAAAAACGUGCAUUUGUAUUUGCUGUAAAUUGCACUUAAGUAUCAGUACCAUUGCUCUCCCACACUCAUCCUCACAGGCCUGGAGAGAUGGCUCAGUGGUUAAGAGCAUUGGCUGCUUUUCCAGAGAACCUGGGUUCAAUUCCCAUCACCUACAUGGCAGCUCAUAACUCUCUGUAACUUCAGUCCCAGAGGCUCUGGCACCCUCAUACAGACAUACAUACAUGCAAGCAAAACACCAAGGCACAUAAGAUAAGAAUAAAUAAAUCA